UACGUAGGGUGCAAGCGUUGUCCGGAAUUAUUGGGCGUAAAGAGCUUGUAGGCGGUUUGUCGCGUCUGCUGUGAAAUUUCGGGGCUCAACCCCGAACUUGCAGUGGGUACGGGCAGACUAGAGUGUGGUAGGGGAGACUGGAAUUCCUGGUGUAGCGGUGAAAUGCGCAGAUAUCAGGAGGAACACCGAUGGCGAAGGCAGGUCUCUGGGCCACUACUGACGCUGAGAGACGAAAGCUAGGGGAGCGAAUGGG
Molecule: ribosomal RNA, 253 nt
Filed under: uncultured bacterium
Lineage: Bacteria
Description: partial 16S ribosomal RNA
Rfam family: Bacterial small subunit ribosomal RNA
Source: RNAcentral